GGCUCGCAGGCGGUUUCUUAAGUCUGAUGUGAAAGCCCCCGGCUCAACCGGGGAGGGUCAUUGGAAACUGGGGAACUUGAGUGCAGAAGAGGAGAGUGGAAUUCCACGUGUAGCGGUGAAAUGCGUAGAGAUGUGGAGGAACACCAGUGGCGAAGGCGACUCUCUGGUCUGUAACUGACGCUGAGGAGCGAAAGCGUGGGGAGCGAACAGGAUUAGAUACCCUGGUAGUCCACGCCGUAAACGAUGAGUGCUAAGUGUUAGGGGGUUUCCGCCCCUUAGUGCUGCAGCUAACGCAUUAAGCACUCCGCCUGGGGAGUACGGUCGCAAGACUGAAACUCAAAGGAAUUGACGGGGGCCCGCACAAGCGGUGGAGCAUGUGGUUUAAUUCGAAGCAACGCGAAGAACCUUACCAGGUCUUGACAUCCUCUGACGAUCCUAGAGAUAGGACGUCCCCUUCGGGGGCAGAGUGACAGGUGGUGCAUGGGUGUCGUCAGCUCGUGUCGUGAGAUGUUGGGUUAAGUCCCGCAACGAGCGCAACCCUUGAUC
Molecule: ribosomal RNA, 546 nt
Filed under: Bacillus subtilis
Lineage: Bacteria; Bacillati; Bacillota; Bacilli; Caryophanales; Bacillaceae
Description: bacterial SSU rRNA
Rfam family: Bacterial small subunit ribosomal RNA
Source: RNAcentral